Molecule: long non-coding RNA, 335 nt
Organism: Neofelis nebulosa (Clouded leopard)
Lineage: Eukaryota; Metazoa; Chordata; Mammalia; Carnivora; Felidae
Exons: 3
Source: RefSeq, a predicted model, not a curated record
CAGUGCAGCAAAGUUUUAAGAAAUCACUACUGUGUUGUGUGAAAGGUUAGCUCUCCCCUUGACAAGGAUGGAAGAGGCCCUUGGGCCUGACAACAUAACCACAUGUGUAUGUUUUAAACGCCUCAAAGAUGGAAAAUAAAUAAGGACAGUGGAGAAAAGAAAACUCGCUGACAAUCCACCACCUAUAGAUGACCACUAUAAACAAUUGAGAAUUGUACUGAAACAAAGAAGAACUGGGAUAUUGUUUAUAAAUAUAACUCACUGUUGGUUGUGCAGAAAGACUUUAAAAGGGAGAGUAAUCUAAAAAUUCUGCUCUUUUGGCCAAAGAGGGUUUC